Long non-coding RNA from Musa acuminata AAA Group (dessert banana), 567 nucleotides. RefSeq lists it as uncharacterized. The record is from RefSeq and is a predicted model, not a curated record. The transcript has 3 exons. Lineage: Eukaryota; Viridiplantae; Streptophyta; Magnoliopsida; Zingiberales; Musaceae.
UCUCUCUCUCUCGCGAUGUGCCGCCGAAGCGUGGGAGCUCCAAGCUCUUCGCCGCCCCUUCUUCCCCUCUCUCCUCAUCUGCCAGAGCAUCGUCGGCCGGGACGGCACCUUCCACACCGAUCAGGCCGUCAAGUACGGUGCCGAGAUGAUCAUGGCGUUUUUAUGGUGGCCUUUGGGAUUAUGGCUGAAACCCCUGAAGCGAACCACGAUCUUUGAAGGAGGAAGGAAACCCCCCCUCUUGCGUGUGGAACUGAACACUUUGGUCUUCCGGUCUUCAAUACUGUUGCUUAAUGGCUGAGACCAAAGCUGGUGUGAGCUAUUUAUGUUCCCCCACCGUACUCUGCUGCAAUUAUGGAGGCUGAGUUAAAAGAUCCUGUUGUGUGCAUUUCUGAAGGAAUUACUCGGCAUGACAAUGGUGUCAGAUCUAAUUGCUCCUAUCGAUUCAUCUUAUACACAUUUGCUUAUCUUCUUCUUUUAUCUCAUUUUUAUAUUUGUAAUUAAUUAAACUUGUUGAUCGAAUUUAAAAUUAUUACUAUUUUGGAAAUUUUGCUAGCAAGGUUUUUGCCA